Molecule: ribosomal RNA, 791 nt
Filed under: uncultured bacterium
Lineage: Bacteria
Description: bacterial SSU rRNA
Rfam family: Bacterial small subunit ribosomal RNA
Source: RNAcentral
AGAGUUUGAUCCUGGCUCAGAUUGAACGCUGGCGGCAUGCCUUACACAUGCAAGUCGAACGGCAGCACGGACUUCGGUCUGGUGGCGAGUGGCGAACGGGUGAGUAAUACAUCGGAACGUGUCCUGUAGUGGGGGAUAGCCCGGCGAAAGCCGGAUUAAUACCGCAUACGCUCUACGGAGGAAAGGGGGGGAUCUUAGGACCUCUCGCUACAGGGGCGGCCGAUGGCAGAUUAGCUAGUUGGUGGGGUAAAGGCCUACCAAGGCGACGAUCUGUAGCUGGUCUGAGAGGACGACCAGCCACACUGGGACUGAGACACGGCCCAGACUCCUACGGGAGGCAGCAGUGGGGAAUUUUGGACAAUGGGCGCAAGCCUGAUCCAGCAAUGCCGCGUGUGUGAAGAAGGCCUUCGGGUUGUAAAGCACUUUUGUCCGGAAAGAAAACCUCCGCCCUAAUAUGGUGGGGGGAUGACGGUACCGGAAGAAUAAGCACCGGCUAACUACGUGCCAGCAGCCGCGGUAAUACGUAGGGUGCAAGCGUUAAUCGGAAUUACUGGGCGUAAAGCGUGCGCAGGCGGUUCGCUAAGACAGAUGUGAAAUCCCCGGGCUUAACCUGGGAACUGCAUUUAUGACUGGCGGGCUAGAGUAUGGCAGAGGGGGGUAGAAUUCCACGUAGCAGUGAAAUGCGUAGAGAUGUGGAGGAAUACCGAUGGCGAAGGCAGCCCCCUGGGCCAAUACUGACGCUCAUGCACGAAAGCGUGGGGAGCAAACAGGAUUAGAUACCCCCGUAGUCC